UGGACACACAGUUUAACAUGAUGGACUACAGGACAGGACUGCUGCUGUUAACUAUCUGCUGGGCAGGUGUUGAUGGUCAGACUCUGACAGAAUCUGAACCAGCGAUUAAAAGGCCUGGAGAAUCCCACAAAUUGACCUGUACAGCCUCUGGAUUUAACUUUGCUGACUACUGGAUGAACUGGGUCAGACAGGCUCCUGGAAAAGGACUGGAGUGGGUUGCUAUAAUCAAAUAUGACAGUGGUGAGAUCUACUACUCUCAGUCAGUUAAAGGCCGGUUCACCAUCUCCAGAGACAACAACAGACAGCAGCUGUAUCUGCAGAUGAACAGUCUGAAGACUGAAGAUACUGCUGUUUAUUAUUGUGCACGAUACACACAGUGUAUGGUGGUGGUUGAGCAGCUGUACAAAAAGAGAGGAAGGAGUAAUGCU
Molecule: non-coding RNA, 428 nt
Organism: Plectropomus leopardus (leopard coralgrouper)
Lineage: Eukaryota; Metazoa; Chordata; Actinopteri; Perciformes; Serranidae
Source: the annotation of a RefSeq genome assembly